This 333-nucleotide ribosomal RNA is filed under the name uncultured bacterium. Its description in RNAcentral is "bacterial SSU rRNA". It matches the Rfam family "Bacterial small subunit ribosomal RNA", at positions 568 to 898 of the family's 1533-position model. The record is from RNAcentral.
CGUGUAGGCGGCCAGAUAAGUCAGAUGUGAAAACCCUUGGCUUAACCAAGGAAGGGCAUUUGAAACUGUCUGGCUUGAGUACGGGAGGGGGAAGUGGAAUUCUCGGUGUAGAGGUGAAAUUCGUAGAUAUCGGGAGGAACACCGGUGGCGAAGGCGGCUUCCUGGACCGAUACUGACGCUGAGACGCGAAAGCGUGGGGAGCAAACAGGAUUAGAUACCCUGGUAGUCCACGCCGUAAACUUUGGGCACUUGGUGUUGCGGGUAUUGACCCCUGCAGUGCCGAAGCUAACGCAUUAAGUGCCCCCGCCUGGGGAGUACGGUCGCAAGGCUAAA